CUGCUGCCUCCCGUAGGAGUCUGGUCCGUGUCUCAGUACCAGUGUGGGGGACCUUCCUCUCAGAACCCCUACGCAUCGUCGUCUUGGUGGUCCGUUACACCGCCAACUAACUAAUGCGACGCAUGCCCAUCCGCCACCGGAAUCAACCUUUGGCACCAACAGGAUGUCCCGUCGAUGCAUUAUGCCGUAUUAGACGGAAUUUCUCCCGAUUAUCCGGCUGUGGCAGGCAGGUUGCAUACGUGUUACU
Molecule: ribosomal RNA, 247 nt
Filed under: uncultured bacterium
Lineage: Bacteria
Description: partial 16S ribosomal RNA
Source: RNAcentral